AUUUUCCGGUUGAUCCUGCCGGACCCGACUGCUAUCAGAGUGGGGCUAAGCCAUGCGAGUCAACGCCGCAAGGCGUGGCAUACGGCUCAGUAACACGUAGUCAACAUGCCCAGGGGACGUGGAUAACCUCGGGAAACUGAGGAUAAACUGCGAUAGGCCAAGGUUUCUGGAAUGGACAAUGGCUGAAACCUAUAUGGCCCCUGGAUUGGACUGCGGCCGAUCAGGCUGUUGGUGGGGUAAUGGCCCACCAAACCAAUAACCGGUACGGGCUUUGAGAGAAGGAGCCCGGAGAUGGGCACUGAGACAAGGGCCCAGGCCCUAUGGGGCGCAGCAGGCGCGAAACCUCUGCAAUAGGCGAAAGCUUGACAGGGUUACUCUGAGUGAUGCCCGCUAAGGGCAUCUUUUGGCACCUCUAAAAAUGGUGCAGAAUAAGGGGUGGGCAAGUCUGGUGUCAGCCGCCGCGGUAAUACCAGCACCCCGAGUGGUCGGGACGAUUAUUGGGCCUAAAGCAUCCGUAGCUUGUUCUGCAAGUCCUCCGUUAAAUCCACCUGCUCAACAGAUGGGCUGCGGAGGAUACUACAGGGCUAGGAGGCGGGAGAGGCAAACGGUACUCAGUGGGUAGGGGUAAAAUCCACUGAUCCACUGAAGACCACCAGUGGCGAAGGCGGUUUGCCAGAACGCGCUCGACGGUGAGGGAUGAAAGCUGGGGGAGCAAACCGGAUUAGAUACCCGGGUAGUCCCAGCUGUAAACGAUGCAGACUCGGUGAUGGGUUGGCUUCGGGCCAACCCAGUGCCGCAGGGAAGCCGUUAAGUCUGCCGCCUGGGGAGUACGGUCGCAAGACUGAAACUUAAAGGAAUUGGCGGGGGAGCACCACAAGGGGUGAAGCCUGCGGUUCAAUUGGAGUCAACGCCGGAAAU
Molecule: ribosomal RNA, 918 nt
Filed under: uncultured archaeon
Lineage: Archaea
Description: bacterial SSU rRNA
Rfam family: Archaeal small subunit ribosomal RNA
Source: RNAcentral